This 204-nucleotide ribosomal RNA is filed under the name uncultured bacterium. Its description in RNAcentral is "partial 16S ribosomal RNA". It matches the Rfam family "Bacterial small subunit ribosomal RNA", at positions 524 to 724 of the family's 1533-position model. The record is from RNAcentral.
UACGAAGGGGGCGAGCGUUGUUCGGAAUCACUGGGCGUAAAGGGCGCGUAGGCGGCCCUCCUUGUCGCGUGUGAAAGCCCCGGGCUCAACCUGGGAACGGGCGCGCGAGACGGGGGGGCUGGAGUUCGGCAGGGGAGACUGGAAUUCCUGGUGUAGCGGUGAAAUGCGCAGAUAUCAGGAGGGAACACCGGUGGGCGAAGGCGG